GUGUUAAUGAAUAUUCAUAACUCUACACACCUCCAAACCACGCAGCAAGCAUUUACAGUUGUUUCUCGGAAUUUUUGUUUGUUGUCUUCUCAGCAGCCCAGUUAUGUUUGCUGCCAGCAGCCCAGGGUGCCACAGUCACUUGUACAAUUCCAUACGUUCAUAUCUCCACAAUCAGAACAGAGCACAGCCCAUCAUUGGUAAGAGAGUGUCCAGCAUC
RNAcentral lists this long non-coding RNA (217 nucleotides) under Sinocyclocheilus anshuiensis. Its description in RNAcentral is "lncRNA (ENSSANG00000011106.1)". Lineage: Eukaryota; Metazoa; Chordata; Actinopteri; Cypriniformes; Cyprinidae. The record is from RNAcentral.